This 440-nucleotide ribosomal RNA is filed under the name uncultured bacterium. RNAcentral's name for it is "partial 16S ribosomal RNA". It matches the Rfam family "Bacterial small subunit ribosomal RNA", at positions 338 to 795 of the family's 1533-position model. The record is from RNAcentral.
CCUACGGGAGGCAGCAGUGGGGGAUAUUGCACAAUGGGGGAAACCCUGAUGCAGCGACGCCGCGGGGGGGAAGAAGAGACUCGGCGCGUAAAGCCCUGUCAGCAGGGAAGAAAAUGACGGUAACUGAAGAAGAAGCCCCGGCUAACUACGUGCCAGCAGCCGCGGUAAUACGUAGGGGGCAAGCGGUAUCCGGAUUUACUGGGUGUAAAGGGGGCGCAGACGGCGAUGCAAGCCAGGAGUGAACGCCCGGGGCCCAACCCCGGGACUGCCCUUGGAACUGCGUGGCUAGAGUGCAGGAGGGGCAGGCGGAAUUCCUGGUGUAGCGGUGAAAUGCGUAGAUAUCAGGAGGAACACCGGUGGCGAAGGCGGCCUGCUGGACUGCAACUGACGUUGAGGCCCGAAAGCGUGGGGAGCAAACAGGAUUAGAUACCCCGGUAGUC